UGGCAACUUUGUGUCUAGUAGGUCAGC
This 27-nucleotide non-coding RNA is filed under the name Mus musculus (house mouse). Lineage: Eukaryota; Metazoa; Chordata; Mammalia; Rodentia; Muridae. The record is from RNAcentral.